UAUAUUAAAGUUGUUGCAGUUAAAAAGCUCGUAGUUGGAUUUGUGGUGUACUUCGGCGGCCCGUCACUAUGUGAUGGAGCUUGCUGAAGUCGCCAUCCUUGGGUGGAUCCUGUGUGGCAUUAAGUUGUCGUGCAGGGGAUGCCCAUCGUUUACUGUGAAAAAAUUAGAGUGUUCAAAGCAGGCUUAUGCCGUUGAAUAUAUUAGCAUGGAAUAAUAAGAUAGGACCUUGGUACUAUUUUGUUGGUUUGCGCACCAAGGUAAUGAUUAAUAGGGACAGUUGGGGGUAUUCGUAUUUCAUUGUCAGAGGUGAAAUUCUUGGAUUUUUGAAAGACGAACUACUGCGAAAGCAUUUACCAAGGAUGUUUUCAUUAAUCAAGAACGAAAGUUAGGGGAUCGAAGAU
RNAcentral lists this ribosomal RNA (401 nucleotides) under Cylindrotheca closterium. Its description in RNAcentral is "SSU rRNA". It matches the Rfam family "Eukaryotic small subunit ribosomal RNA", at positions 600 to 1005 of the family's 1831-position model. The record is from RNAcentral. Lineage: Eukaryota; Bacillariophyta; Bacillariophyceae; Bacillariales; Bacillariaceae.